Long non-coding RNA from Tachysurus fulvidraco (yellow catfish), 341 nucleotides. RefSeq lists it as uncharacterized. The record is from RefSeq and is a predicted model, not a curated record. NCBI's taxonomy places the organism in Eukaryota, Metazoa, Chordata, Actinopteri, Siluriformes, Bagridae. The transcript is spliced from 4 exons.
GGAGGAGGUGGGAAAAGUGAAAGCAAUAGCACAGAAUUCUGCUGAGCUCACACUUGAUCAGCUUCAAAGGAGGAAGAAAUGGUUUGGGGACAAUCAAAACCAGAUCCUCCGAAAGACUUCGAGCAACCUUGGAGAAACCCAGACUGGAACCCGAGCAAUCUGAAAUCUGAGUUAAGUGAACUUCUUACAUUUAUGGAAAACCACCAAGACAUCAGGCAGUUCAGAAUACUGCUUCAUGGACCAGUUGGAGCUGGGAAGUCCUGCUUUAUAAACUCAGUGAAGAGCGUAUACAAGGAAAGAAUUGUAGUCAGGGCAGCUGAGGAGACGUCUGCUGGAAAGAG